AACGGCCAUACCAUGCUGAAUAUACCGGUUCUCGUUAGAUCACCGAAGUCAAGCAUCAUUGGGCGUGGUCAGUACUUGGAUGGGUGACCACCUAGGAACACCGCGUGCCGUU
This 112-nucleotide ribosomal RNA is filed under the name Caerostris extrusa. The record is from RNAcentral. Lineage: Eukaryota; Metazoa; Arthropoda; Arachnida; Araneae; Araneidae.